CCCUUAGAUGUCCUGGGCUGCACGCGCGCUACACUGAUGUGUCCAGUAAGCACCUAACCUCUUCCGAAAGGAACGGGUAACCUUUGCAAAGCACAUCGUGAUGGGGAUAGAUUAUUGCAAUUAUUAGUCUUGAACGAGGAAUGCCUAGUAAGCGUGAGUCAUCAGCUCACGUUGAUUACGUCCCUGCUCUUUGUACACACCGCCCGUCGCUCCUACCGAUUGAAUGUGCCAGUGAAAAGUUAGGAUUGGGCGUGGGAGACGGCAACGUAUUCCACAUCCGAGAAAAUCUUUAAACUUUCCCAUUUAGAGGAAGGAGAAGUCGUAACA
This 327-nucleotide ribosomal RNA is filed under the name uncultured eukaryote. RNAcentral describes it as "partial 18S ribosomal RNA". It matches the Rfam family "Eukaryotic small subunit ribosomal RNA", at positions 1470 to 1796 of the family's 1831-position model. The record is from RNAcentral.